GAUGGGAAAUAUGGAGGAAAUUUGAUCCGGCUCACAGUAUCGUCUUCACCGAGUCUUCUGUUCACCUAACUACCUCUUCAGAAGUCGCUAUGGCUUCUCAAAGUCAACGGUCACCACCAUCACUCCAAACACCUUCCAGUGCCUUCGAAAACUUACCCUUUUCGGGCACACUAGUUCCCAUGGAUGAAAUGCAUUCUUCAAAUCCAGUGAAUGUGUUCGAAUCCAUGUCUUCAGAUCAGAAUGGGUCAUCGAUUUGUGUAUGAUUUAUUUGAUACCGAUGAGCAAGCCACUCAAUUCUCUCCCAAUCAUAGUUCCAAAGCAGAGGCAACCAAACCCCUGAGCCCUAUUGCUGAGAAUCAGAAGAAUCAAACUGAGAAUGCUGAGGUUCUAGUCCAACUCUAGAGGUGCUGUAAUUGUGCUGAGUUUGCUGCUGGAACUGAAGCCCAGAUAGCGGAAACAGUGGUCUUGGAAGUCCUGCCACCAGUGAAAGAAGAAAGGAGGAGGGGCAAGAGAAGCUCCAAGUCUUGUUUGAAUCAAAGGAGAAGGGUUCUUGGGGAGUCUGAUUUACAAGCGAAGGGGCUUGGUGAUAUGGAUUUUUAUGUGAACGUGGUUUGUGGGAACUAGGUAGUGGGAAGCGUCUGGAUAUCAGUUGUUUGGACAGUCCACAUCAUGUCAAGAUGUCUCCCCUUAGUGACGGUAUGGCCAUGAAAUAGCAUCUCAAGGUGUUAGAAGGACGCAGAUUAUACCUCCGAAAACAAAUUAUAUGGAUUUUCCGUGACAAAGGAAAAUGAAUUCCUUGUUUUUCCCUAAAGAGGAAAAUUUUAUA
Long non-coding RNA from Vitis riparia (riverbank grape), 826 nucleotides. RefSeq lists it as uncharacterized. The record is from RefSeq and is a predicted model, not a curated record. NCBI's taxonomy places the organism in Eukaryota, Viridiplantae, Streptophyta, Magnoliopsida, Vitales, Vitaceae. The transcript has 2 exons.